This 393-nucleotide ribosomal RNA is filed under the name uncultured bacterium. Its description in RNAcentral is "partial 16S ribosomal RNA". It matches the Rfam family "Bacterial small subunit ribosomal RNA", at positions 523 to 918 of the family's 1533-position model. The record is from RNAcentral.
AUACGGAGGAUCCGAGCGUUAUCCGGAUUUAUUGGGUUUAAAGGGUGCGCAGGCGGGAGAUUAAGUCGGCGGUGAAAUUUUGCAGCUCAACUGUAAAAGUGCCUUCGAAACUGGUUUCCUUGAGUGUAGAUGAAGUAGGCGGAAUUUGUGGUGUAGCGGUGAAAUGCAUAGAUAUCACGAGGAACUCCGAUUGCGCAGGCAGCUUACUAAACUACUACUGACGCUCAGGCACGAAGGCGUGGGGAUCAAACAGGAUUAGAUACCCUGGUAGUCCACGCAGUAAACGAUGAUUACUAGCUGUUUGCGAUACAAUGUAAGCGGCUGAGCGAAAGCGUUAAGUAAUCCACCUGGGGAGUACGUUCGCAAGAAUGAAACUCAAAUGAAUUGACGGGG